RNAcentral lists this ribosomal RNA (251 nucleotides) under uncultured bacterium. Its description in RNAcentral is "partial 16S ribosomal RNA". It matches the Rfam family "Bacterial small subunit ribosomal RNA", at positions 32 to 261 of the family's 1533-position model. The record is from RNAcentral.
AAUCAACGCUGGCGGCGUGCCUCAGACAUGCAAGUCGAACGAGAAAGUUUCCUUCGGGAGACGAGUACAGUGGCGUCCGGGUGAGUAACACGUGGGUAAUUUACCUUUGGGUGGGAAUAGCAGCCGGAAACGGCUAUUAAUACCGCAUAAUGCAGCGGCUCGACAUCGAGACAGUUGUUAAAGCGGGGAUCUGACAAGGACCUCGCGCCUAAAGAGAAGCCUGCGUCAGAUUAGCUAGUUGGUAGGGUAAU